AUUUUCCUUUUUUACAAAGAACGGAAAAAUAAAACAAAAGGGACUUCCUUUUUCUCUGCUAGGGUUCCAAGCCUAGCUUUGGAACCCCGCUGUCGUCCACCGCAUCUCCACUGCAGUGCCACCGAGGACGGUGGCCGGAGUCACACGGAAAAAGAAAAAAAAGGGGUUUUUUAGCCCGUGCCCACAAAAAUAGGAAAGAAAAAGAAAGCCUUCCUCGUCCCCUCUCUGAAACUCGGCUCCGGCGACGGAGAAAGGGACUCCGGCAAUGGAACCGUGACGCCCAGGUAAGUUUUUCUUUACUUUUCUAUUCUAGUUUUUGUUCGAAUGGAUUUGCAAAAGAAAAUAAAAAUCAAUAAAUAAAUAAAAGAAAGAAAAACAAAUAGGAAACAAUAAAAGAUUUUUAAUCAACCUUUCCAAAUUUCUGUUCUGCUUUUUGAUUGCUUUGUGUGUGUUCGUAAAAAAAUUACAAUGAUAGAAUCACAACCUUUAUAGCCGAAUUACAACAGCUCAUUUCCAUCUUUUGUUUUUUGCUCUUUAUUUCGCCGGAUUCUCCUGUUGCUUUGUAUUUACUCCUCUCUGCAGGUGUCAGACGAGGCCGACGGUGGUGGCAGAAGGCAUGCGCGAUGAGGCAUUGGGCAAAGGCGGCGGCUAGCUUAAAAGAAUAAAUAAUAUUUUGGGCAUAUGAAAGAUAUUUAUUGUGCUAAAAAACUAUAUUAGUUAGUUUAAAGACAAGAUAACACAUAUAAUUGACUUAAUAAAUGAAAAGGCCGAUAUAGGAGGGAGGGGUGGCAAACUAGUAUGGACCUAUUGAAUUUUUUUAUUUUGAUUUUGAUAAUUUAUUUAAACAAACUGAUC
This 855-nucleotide long non-coding RNA is filed under the name Gossypium raimondii (Peruvian cotton). RNAcentral describes it as "long non-coding RNA (GRAI_LNC003415)". Lineage: Eukaryota; Viridiplantae; Streptophyta; Magnoliopsida; Malvales; Malvaceae. The record is from RNAcentral.